RNAcentral lists this ribosomal RNA (399 nucleotides) under Pentamera calcigera. RNAcentral's name for it is "partial 12S ribosomal RNA". The stretch from base 50 to 399 matches the Rfam family "Microsporidia small subunit ribosomal RNA", at positions 752 to 1211 of the family's 1311-position model. The record is from RNAcentral. Lineage: Eukaryota; Metazoa; Echinodermata; Holothuroidea; Dendrochirotida; Phyllophoridae.
UCUGGGAUUAGAUACCCCACUAUACCUUUUCAAAAUCCACAAAACACCAGAGUAGUAUAAUUUUCCCAAUUGAAACUCAAAGAACUUGGCGGUAUUCUAAAUCUUUUUGGAGGAGCUUGUUAUCAAAUCGAUAACCCACGAGAUACCUCACCAAUCUUAGAAAACAGUUUGUAUACCAUCGUCGCCAGCUUACUUUAAAGAACGUAAGCUUAAUGGAAUAACCCUAAACGUCAGAUCAAGGUGCAACCAAUAGAUUGGGGAUCAAUGAGCUACCCUACUUUACAACUGAGGAUUAAAAAUUAAAAUUUUAAAGAAAAAGGAUUCAACAGUAAUUAAUUAAAGAAAUAAAAAAUGAAACAAGCCCUAGAAUGCGCACACACCGCCCGUCACCCUCCUCAA